UGGUGGCUAUAGCUAGGGAGUAACACCCGAUCCCAUUCCGAACUCGGUCGUGAAGGCCCUAUGCGCCGAUGGUACUUCGUCUUAAGGCGCGGGAGAGUAGGUCGUUGCCA
This 110-nucleotide ribosomal RNA is filed under the name Alphaproteobacteria bacterium MarineAlpha12_Bin1. Lineage: Bacteria; Pseudomonadati; Pseudomonadota; Alphaproteobacteria. RNAcentral also lists the same sequence under 1 other name. The record is from RNAcentral.